CUUGAAUCCUUUAGGCCUCCCAAACUCUUAUCCAAAUCCAAAAUGACCUGCCAGAACUCACUCCAUACAAUAAAGCCUGUACCACAAAGGUGAUCAAGUUUCUCAGGAGGAAGUCUGAUGCUGGUUUCCCUGAGGACUUGCUGGAAGCCUUCCACACUAAUAAAGCCACCCCCACCACUCUGGUCUUGUGCAUCAAAAGCUUUCCGAAU
RNAcentral lists this unclassified non-coding RNA (209 nucleotides) under Hevea brasiliensis (rubber tree). The record is from RNAcentral. Lineage: Eukaryota; Viridiplantae; Streptophyta; Magnoliopsida; Malpighiales; Euphorbiaceae.